RNAcentral lists this ribosomal RNA (492 nucleotides) under uncultured bacterium. RNAcentral describes it as "partial 16S ribosomal RNA". It matches the Rfam family "Bacterial small subunit ribosomal RNA", at positions 29 to 507 of the family's 1533-position model. The record is from RNAcentral.
AGUGAACGCUGGCGGUAGGCCUAACACAUGCAAGUCGAACGGCAGCACAGUAAGAGCUUGCUCUUACGGGUGGCGAGUGGCGGACGGGUGAGGAAUACAUCGGAAUCUACUUUUUCGUGGGGGAUAACGUAGGGAAACUUACGCUAAUACCGCAUACGACCUACGGGUGAAAGCAGGGGAUCUUCGGACCUUGCGCGAUUGAAUGAGCCGAUGUCGGAUUAGCUAGUUGGCGGGGUAAAGGCCCACCAAGGCGACGAUCCGUAGCUGGUCUGAGAGGAUGUACAGCCACACUGGAACUGAGAAACGGUACAGACUCCGACGGGAGGAAGCAGUGGGGAAUAUUGGACAAUGGGCGAAAGCCUGAUACAGCCAUACCGCGUGGGUGAAGAAGGACUUCGGGUUGUAAAGCCCUUUUGUUGGGAAAGAAAAGAAGCAGGUUAAUACCCCGCUGUUCUGACGGUACCCAAAGAAUAAGCACCGGCUAACUUCGUG